GACGAACGCUGGCGGCGUGCCUAAUACAUGCAAGUUGAGCGAUGAAGAUUGGUGCUUGCACCAAUUUGAAGAGCAGCGAACGGGUGAGUAACGCGUGGGGAAUCUGCCUUUGAGCGGGGGACAACAUUUGGAAACGAAUGCUAAUACCGCAUAACAACUUUAAACAUAAGUUUUAAGUUUGAAAGAUGCAAUUGCAUCACUCAAAGAUGAUCCCGCGUUGUAUUAGCUAGUUGGUGAGGUAAAGGCUCACCAAGGCGAUGAUACAUAGCCGACCUGAGAGGGUGAUCGGCCACAUUGGGACUGAGACACGGCCCAAACUCCUACGGGAGGCAGCAGUAGGGAAUCUUCGGCAAUGGACGAAAGUCUGGCCGAGCAACGCCGCGGGAGUGAAGAAGGGUUUCGGAUCGUAAAACUCUGUUGGUAGAGAAGAACGUUGGUGAGAGUGGAAAGCUCAUCAAGUGACGGUAACUACCCAGAAAGGGACGGCUAACUACGUG
Molecule: ribosomal RNA, 497 nt
Filed under: uncultured bacterium
Lineage: Bacteria
Description: partial 16S ribosomal RNA
Rfam family: Bacterial small subunit ribosomal RNA
Source: RNAcentral